Molecule: ribosomal RNA, 611 nt
Filed under: uncultured fungus
Lineage: Eukaryota; Fungi
Description: eukaryotic LSU rRNA
Rfam family: Eukaryotic large subunit ribosomal RNA
Source: RNAcentral
CCCGCUGAACUUAAGCAUAUCAAUAAGCGGAGAAAAAGAAACCAACAGGGAUUGCCUUAGUAACGGCGAGUGAAGCGGCAAAAGCUCAAAUUUGAAAUCUGCCACCAGGCCGAAUUGUAAUUUGUAGAGGAACGUUCGGUGACGCCUUAGUCCGAGUCUUCUGGAAGGAAGCGCCAAUGAGGGUGAGAGCCCCGUAGGAUGAAUGGCUAAGCCUUGUGUACGUCCUUCGAAGAGUCGAGUUGUUUGGGAAUGCAGCUCAAAACGGGUGGUAAAUUCCAUCUAAAGCUAAAUAUUGGCCAGAGACCGAUAGCGCACAAGUAGAGUGAUCGAAAGAUGAAAAGCACUUUGGAAAGAGAGUGAAACAGUACGUGAAAUUGUUGAAAGGGAAGCGCUAGCGACCAGACUUGUGUUUGAUGUUCAGCUGUUUAUUUAAGCAGUGUAUUUCAUCAGUUACAGGCCAACAUCGGUUUUUUGGGUCGGAUAAAAUCAUUGGGAACGUGGCUCCUCGUUGAGUGUUAUAGCCCUUUGAAGAAUACGGCCACAGAAGACCGAGGACCGCCUUUUGAAGGAUGUUGGCGUAAUGGUUGUUAGCGGCCCGUCUUGAAACACGG